GACGAACGCUGGCGGCGUGCUUAACACAUGCAAGUCGAACGGUGAAGCGCCUUCCUUUUUGGUGGGUGUGGAUGAGUGGCGAACGGGUGAGUAACACGUGAGUAACCUGCCCCCUUCUUCUGGAUAACCGCAUGAAAGUGUGGCUAAUACGGGAUAUUCUGGGUCUGUCGCAUGAUGGGUCUGGGAAAGAUAUUGUUUCGGUGGGGGAUAGGCUCGCGGCCUAUCAGCUUGUUGGUGGGGUGAUGGCCUACCAAGGCGGUGACGGGUAGCCGGCCUGAGAGGGUGGACGGUCACACUGGGACUGAGACACGGCCCAGACUCCUACGGGAGGCAGCAGUGGAGAAUAUUGCACAAUGGGCGCAAGCCUGAUGCAGCGACGCCGCGUGAGGGAUGGAGGCCUUCGGGUUGUGAACCUCUUUCGCCAGUGAAGCAGGCCUGCCUCGUUUGUGGGUGGGUUGACGGUAGCUGGAUAAGAAGCGCCGGCUAACUACGUG
RNAcentral lists this ribosomal RNA (494 nucleotides) under uncultured bacterium. RNAcentral's name for it is "partial 16S ribosomal RNA". It matches the Rfam family "Bacterial small subunit ribosomal RNA", at positions 28 to 507 of the family's 1533-position model. The record is from RNAcentral.